This 109-nucleotide ribosomal RNA is filed under the name Sphenodon punctatus (tuatara). The record is from RNAcentral. Lineage: Eukaryota; Metazoa; Chordata; Lepidosauria; Sphenodontia; Sphenodontidae.
GUCUAUGACCACACCACCCUGAACACAGCCCAUCUUGGAAGUUAAGCAGAUUCAGACCUGGUUAGUACUUGAAUGGGAAACUGCCUGGGAAUACCAGGUGCUGUAGGCU